RNAcentral lists this non-coding RNA (28 nucleotides) under Homo sapiens (human). Lineage: Eukaryota; Metazoa; Chordata; Mammalia; Primates; Hominidae. The record is from RNAcentral.
UCCCGUGAAUAGCUUGGAUUUGUGCUGC